GCACCCAUAGCUCAAAGGUAGAGUACCUGGCUUAUAUCCAGUUUGUUCGGGGUUCGAAUCCCUGUGGGUGUACCA
Molecule: transfer RNA, 75 nt
Filed under: Thermoproteota archaeon
Lineage: Archaea; Thermoproteati; Thermoproteota
Description: Crenarchaeota archaeon (anaerobic digester metagenome) tRNA-Ile
Rfam family: tRNA
About the family: Transfer RNA (tRNA) molecules are approximately 80 nucleotides in length. Their secondary structure includes four short double-helical elements and three loops (D, anti-codon, and T loops).
Source: RNAcentral